This 253-nucleotide ribosomal RNA is filed under the name uncultured bacterium. RNAcentral's name for it is "partial 16S ribosomal RNA". It matches the Rfam family "Bacterial small subunit ribosomal RNA", at positions 524 to 776 of the family's 1533-position model. The record is from RNAcentral.
GACGUAGGGCGCGAGCGUUGUCCGGAUUUAUUGGGCGUAAAGAGCUCGUAGGCGGCUUGUUGCGUCAGCUGUGAAAACCCGCAGCUCAACUGUGGGCUUGCAGCUGAUACGGGCAGGCUUGAGUUCGGUAGGGGAGACUGGAAUUCCUGGUGUAGCGGUGAAAUGCGCAGAUAUCAGGAGGAACACCGGUGGCGAAGGCGGGUCUCUGGGCCACUACUGACGCUGAGACGCGAAAGCGUGGGGAGCGAACAGG